RNAcentral lists this long non-coding RNA (1017 nucleotides) under Cricetulus griseus (Chinese hamster). RNAcentral's name for it is "lncRNA (ENSCGRG00015029288.1)". Lineage: Eukaryota; Metazoa; Chordata; Mammalia; Rodentia; Cricetidae. The record is from RNAcentral.
AAAAGACCUUGCAGCAAGACAUUAAUAUCCAUCUCUUGAUCUUCAGACUAGACUUUGGAUCACUAAGAAAAGCCUGGGGACAAUGAGGUCACUCCCAAAGAACGUCUGAAGGGGGUGUGACAGAGGUGGUGUCAGGUCUUAAAGGAUCUCUGAGAUUAAAUUGAGAGAGACCCAAAAUUGCUCCCUUGCUUGGAAUGGGGAAAGUAUAAGUGUCUCAGAACCCUAAUCCCAGCUCAAUAUCCACUUGGAGAACCUACUCUUCUUGGGUAAUAGAUAUAGUAUCAGCCAAUUAGUCCCUUAAGCUUCACUUCUCCAGACUCAAGUUUAUUCAAGGUCAAAUUCAGGUUCUUGCUUCCCUUCAGAGUACAGAUUCCAGGCCUGGCUGAUUUCACAUUUUAUUUCGUUACAGAAGGCGUCUUGUAUCCACUAAUUUCCACAAUGAGACUCUGUCUAACAAUCAUUGCACUAAUACAAAAGCUUCCGGUACUAAUGGAAGCAUGGACGACCUGAGAUGUGCAUGGAGAUGUUGCAAGUUGUUCCUCCUUUUAAAGGUCCUGGAGGGAGGGCUGCCCAGAUCUCCGCUCUGACCUGACGCUGAGAGCUCUUUGUUUCCUGCCACAGAAAAAGACGGCAAAGUAUCAGAAAGAAGGACAGGGGCCUCUCUCUAGUGUCUUCUACCACUGGGCUCCUGUGUGAUUUCCCUUCCACUCAGCUCAGCAGGGAAAAACAAGCUUGCAUUUAAUUAAAAUAAGGGGACAUUACAGCAUAAGGAAGCUGGAGCUACACAGCUGGGGUUAGGGACAUAAAUAUGACAAUAAAGCCACUGUAGAGCGGGCACUAGGUCACUGACCACAUAGAAUGACCUCAGCACAGGCGCUGCUUCUGAAUUUGUUGUUUGCAUCUAGACUAGGACGCAAACUCAGCCAAGAAUUUGUCACUUCCAGUUCUGGUUCUGCCAUAUUAAUGAUCCUUUGGGACCAUGGUGGACUUUGCUAAACUGUCUGCAUUAGAGGAGGG